This 825-nucleotide ribosomal RNA is filed under the name Triticum aestivum (bread wheat). Its description in RNAcentral is "partial small subunit ribosomal RNA". Lineage: Eukaryota; Viridiplantae; Streptophyta; Magnoliopsida; Poales; Poaceae. The record is from RNAcentral.
AUGCACGUGAACUUCGCAGGCAGGCACUCAUGUUCAAGGAGAACAAAGAGCGGGAGAAGGCCGAAAGUAAAAAAAAGCGGGAAACAAGUUGCCCAGCUCGGGGAACAAAGUAAACAAUCGAUUGCCCCGCUUAUAGUGGAAGCCUUCUGUCCGGAUGCCCCCGAGAUCAUACAAGCUGCGGCGGCACAGGGAUUGACUGUAACGAGUGCCAGAGAACAAGCGGCCAACUUAGGUAUUACUCUUCGUGAACUGUUAGGCCUUGAUGAGGCGCCAGUGAAGGAGGUAGUAAUUACAUAUGUCAAGAAUGGGCCUCUCGUCGAGCCUGCGCAGGAAAAGGAUCUACCUCCACAAAUGAAAGGUCUGCUGAAAUGGUACAAGGGUUACAUAAAAAAUAAAAACGCCAAAGAAUAUAUUUAUGCGGAAGUUAGACAUGAGCAUCACUUCAAACAUUACUAUGUACAAAUUGAACUGAGUGAAUUGUUCCAGCUUUUCAAUCUGCGCGAGCUCGAUAAAUCUAUCAUCAGUUGCUACGUUCUAAUGAAGAUUAAGGAAUGCAGAGUAAGGAACAUCCAUGAUGUUGGGUUCAUUGACCCACACAUUGUUAAUGGACAUGUGUUGGAGCGUCACCCCGCCGACGUGGAGGCAGACCUGUGGCACUUUCUUACAAAGCAGGAACUCAAAAGUGAUAUUCUAUUUCCUUACCAUUUUGAGUUCCACUGGAUUCUGCUAGUAAUUAAAGUUAACACCUCAGAAUGUCUCGUCCACGACUCUGUGAAUAUGGAUCCAAAGCUUUGGGGCGGCAUGAGAAGAAUGCUGCAGAAGUAA